AUCAAACUAUAUAUAACUAAGUCAGAGCUUCCUACAGAUGAUUCAGAAACUGUUGAAAAGACCUAAAAGACUUUUAAAAAUGGGCUUUCUCUUAUAUUUUAUAUUUGGAAGAAAAACCAUAAGGUAUAUGUAGGUCACUUAAUCACUAAAUAUCAUUGCCUACAGGCCUCUCAUGAACACAUUAGCCAUUGGUAAUCUGCCUAUGUACAUGGCACCUGUUUGAGCUCUCAUGCUGUGAAAACUUGCCUGUUCUUCCAGAAGACCCCAUUGGAAGCACCAGUUUCACCUCUGUAUGACCUUCUGAGACUAGCACUCUGGAAUUGUUUUAGUUGAGUCUUUUAGAAUAUAAAACGUUUUAUUACCAUGGAUUCAGUUGUCAGGUAUUAUUAUCAAUUUUGAAGAAAUAAAUUUUGAGGAGGUAUAAGAAAGGAAUGCAUCUUAUGAAAUGUUACAGUGAAGCCUACUAUUGACCUUUGACUACUGGGAGUUUUAAGUGUGUUAGAAUCUGUAAUCUACAAUUAAGGGAAUUAACCAGAGUUGUGAGCUAUCACACAGAUUUAAGUAUAGAUUUUGUCUUUAUCAAAUGAACUGAAAGAACAAGUUACAGUUAAAGUUUGAAUGGAAGAGCCGGCUGUGGUUGUUCCACUUCUUGUUGUUGCUGUUUACAUUCCUUUGUCUACCCUACCUCUUCAUAAGCCUACACCUUCAUUUUAGCAAGUAAAUGUUGAAUACUUCUGCUUCACGGUCAAGACAGAAUCAGAAGCCAUUGAUAUAGGCAAUUUGUCUAUUUUCUUUUUCCAUGACUAUAUCUACUGCCUUGUCUUGAUUUAUAAGCAAAACCUGAAAACCUACAAAACAAAUGUUUUGUGGUGUACCUAGAAAUAAUACAGAAAAUAUUGCUGUUAUUUUUGGUGAAGAAAAUCAAUUUUGUGUAGUUUAUUUCAAUCUAAAUAAAAUGUGAAAUUUGUUUUAAAAAAAGAAAAUUAUAUGAACACAAAUGUAAAAGAAUCUUAACAACAACAUAUAUCAAGGAUAAUACAUUAUGAUCAAGUGGACUUUAUCCAAGAAAUGCAGAGUUGUUUUUGUAAAUUAAAAAAUCAAUCUGUGUAAAUUGCCUUUCCCCCACUACUGCUAUGCUGGAGAUGGAACCUAGGGCCUUGGACAUGCUGAACUACUGAGUUACAGUCCGGUCUCACCAUAUUAAUAAGAAGAAAAAUCUUAUAAUCAUCUCAGUAGAUGGAAAAAUUAAGCCUUGGGAAAAAUUAAAUAUUCAUUCAUGAUGAAUACUCUCAGCAAAUGAAGAAUAGAGAGAACUUUCACACUACUGGUACAUCUAUGAAAAACUAACAAUAUUCUUAACGGUGAAAGACUAAAUGGUUUCUUCUUAUGAACAGGAACAAGGCAAGGAUAGGUACUCAGACCACUCAACAUUAUACUAGAAGUUCUAGCCAUUGCAAUAAAGCAACAAAAAUAUUAAAAAAGGCUCAAAUAUUGUAAAAAAGUAGAAAUUUAUUAACAGUGUCUUGAUCAUCUUUGUACAAAAUCUUGGGGAUGCUACCUUGUGGCUAUAAGACCUGUUAUGUGUUUUUAGCAAGAUUACAGAAUCAAAAAUCAAUAUACAAAAAUCAGUUGUACUUCUAUAUAAUGACAACAAAUGAAAACUGAACUUUCAGAAGUUCUAUUCAUAAAAUUAUUCCUAUAGAAAUAUGAUACACUUCAGAUAAAUUUGGCAAAAGAUGUGCAAAACUUGACUACUGAAAACCACACAACAUCAUUAAAAGGAAUUAAAGACCUAAAUCAGUGGAGAGAUAUACAGUGUUAAUGAAUCAGUCUUGUUCAUAUGUCAAGCUUCUUCAAGACAAUCCCAGUGAAAAUCUAAAUAGGCUUUAUAAAAAGUGUCAAGUUGAUUCUGAAAGUAAUACAUAAAUGCAAAGGGUCCAAAGUAACCAAAUGUUUAUUUUUUUGUUUUUGUUUUAUGGGGGGUGUCUUGGGUUUUUGGUUAUGGUUUUAGUUUUGGUUUGGGUACAGGGGAUUGAACCCAGGGGAGCUUAACCACUGAGCCACAUCCCCAGCCUUUUUUAUAUUUUAUUUUGAGACAGGGUCUUGCUAAGUUGCUUAGGGUGUCACUAAAUUGCUGAAACUGGCUUUAAACUUGCAAUCCUCCUGCUGGAGGAGCUGCUGGGAUUACAGGUGUGCACCUCCAUACCCAGCACCAAAACAUUUUUGAAAAAGUACAAGUUUGGAAGACUACCUGAUUUCAAGACUUAUUAUAAAGCUACUACAAUCAAAACAGAAAGCAAGUAGUGAAAAGACCAGUGGAAUGGACUAGAGGGUCCAGAAGUAAACUCAUCCUUACAUGCUGAUUAAUUUAUGAUUAGAUUAAUUUAUAAUUAGGGGAGAAUCAUCUUUCCUAUCUCAAUAAAUGGUUCACGAUUGUGAGCUAUCCAAAUGAAACCAAAAAGAGCUGUGGCUGGAAACAGAUCACAGAAAUAAAAGCAAGAGCUGAGAUUAUAAACCUUCCAGAAGAAAAAUUUAGAAAGCUCAGGUUAGAUAAAGAUGUCUUUUUUUAAAAAAUUUUUAUUUUUUAGUUUUAGGUGGACACAAUAUCUUUAUUUUAUUUUUAUGUGGUGCUGAGAAUCAAACCCAGUGCCUCAUGCAUGCAAGGCGAGCACACUACCACAUGAGCCACAUCCCCAGACCCAAGAUGUCUUAAAAAGUACACAACAAGCACUUACAAUGAAAGAAAUUCAGUAACUAAUUGAAAAACAGGUAAAAAUUUUGAAUAGAUACUUCACAUAAAGGGGGGGGGCAAAUAAGCACCAAAAAAUUGCUGACUAUCAUUAGUCAUUACAGAAAUACUAGUUAAAACCAUAAGCACCCAUUGGCAUGGCUAGCAUAAAAAUACUGAUUACACCAAACAUUGAUGAGAAAGUGGAGCAACACUUCCAUGCACUGCUGGUGAGACUAUGAGGUGGUACAACCACUUUGGAAGCAGUUUAGUCAUCUCUUUAAAAGUUAUUUGUAUUUAGCAUGUAUAGCUUUUACAAUGUUGAGGUAUGUUCCUACUAUCCCUAGUUUUCUAGUGUUUUGAACAUGAAGGUGUAUUGUAUUUUGUCAAAUGCUUUUUCUGCAUCGAAUGAGAUGAUCAUAUGAUUCUUAUUUUUAAGUCUAUUAAUAUGAUGAAUUAUGUUUAUUGAUUUGGUAUGUUGAAACAACCCCUGCAUCCCUGAGAUGAAUCCCACUUGAUCAUGGUGUACUAUCUUUUAAAUAUGUUUUUGUAUGCAAUUUGCCAGAAUUUUAUUGAGAAUUUUUACAUCUAUGUUCAUCAGGGAUAUUGGGCUGAAGUUUUCUUUCCUUGAUGUGUCUUUGUCUGGUUUUGGUAUCAGGGUGAUACUCACCUCAUAGAAUGAGUUUGGAAGGGUUCCCUCCUUUUCUAUUUCAUGAAACACUUUGAGGAGUAUUGGUGUUAAUUCUUCUUUGAAAGUGGUGUAGAAGAACUGGGGAAAGCCUUCCUGCUAAAAACUGGAAUAAGACAAGGAUGUCCUCUUUCACCACUUCUAUUCAACAUCAUCCUUGAAACUCUAAUGACAGCAAUUAGACAAAAGAAAGAAAUUAAAGGGAUACAAAUAGGUAAAGAAGAGCUCAAACUAUCACUAUUUACUGAUGACAUGAUUCUAUAUCUAGAAGAUCCAAAAAAUUCCACCAGAAAACUUCUAGAACUAAUAAAUGAAUUCAGCAAAGCAGCAGGAUAUAAAAUCAACACCCUUAAAUCAAAUGCAUUUCUAAACAUCAGUGAUGAAUCCACCGAAAGAGAAAUUAGGAAAACUACUCCAUUCACAAUAGCCUCAAAAAAAAAAAAAAAUACCUGGGAAAAUCUAACAAAAAAGGUGAAAGACCUCUACAACGAAAACUACAGAACACUAAGGAAAGAAAUUGAAGAAAACCUCAGAAGACAGAAAGAUCUCCCAUGCACCUGGAUAGGCAGAAUUAACAUUGUCAAAAUGGCCAUACUACCAAAAGCAUUAUACAGAUUAAAUGCAAUUCCUAUUAAAAUCCCAAUGACAUUCUUCAAAGAAACAGAAAAAGCAUUCAUGAAAUUUAUUUGGAAAAAUAAGCGACCCAGAAUAGCUAAAACAAUCCUUAGCAAGAAAAGUGAAGCAGGAGGCAUCACAAUACCAGAUCUUAAAUUAUACUACAGAGCUAUAGUAACAAAAAUGGCAUGAUAUUGGCACCAAAAUAGACUUGUAGACCAAUGGUACAGAAUAGAGGACACAGAGACUAACCCACAUAAAUACAGUUAUCUCAUACUAGACAAAGGUACCAAAAACAUUCACUGGAGAAAAGAUAACCUAUUCAACAAAUGGUGCUGGCAAAACUGGAAAUCCAUAUGCAACAAAACGAAAUUAAACCUCUAUCUCUCUCUCACCUCUCUCACCCUGCACAAAAAUCAACUCAAAGUGGAUCAAAGACUUAGGCACUAGAACAGAGACCCUGCACCUAACAGGAAAAAAUAGGCUCAAAUCUUCACCAUGUCAACCUAGGAUCUGACUUCCUUAAAAGACUCCAAAAGCACAAGAAGUAAAAUCAACAAUCAAUAAAUGGGGUGGAUUCAAAUUUAAAAGAUUCUUCUCAGGGCUGGGGAAGUGGCUCAAGUGGUAGCGUGCUUGCCUAGCAUGCAUGAGGCAAUGGGUUCGAUUCUGAGCACCACAUAAAAAUUUUUUAAAAUGAAGAUAUUGUGUCCCCCUAAAAAAACUAAAAAAGAUUCUUCUCAGCAAAGAAAACAAUUAAUAACAUGAGGAGAGAGCCUACAGAUUGGGAGAAAAUCUUUACCACAUGCACCUCCAAUAAAGCAUUAAUCUCUGGGAUAUAUAAAGAACUCAAAAAACUUAACACCAAAAAAAUAAAUAACCCAAUCAAUAAAUGGCUAAGGAACAGAACAGACACUUCACAGAAGAAGAAAUACAACUGAUCAACAAAUAUAUGAAAAAGUUUUCAACAUCUCUAGCAAUCAGAGAAAUGCAAAUCAAAACCACUCUAAGAUUUCAAUCUCACUCCUAUCAGAAUAGCAAUCAUCAAUACAUCAUACAGGCAACAGGGCUGGGACUGUGGCUCAACGGUAGAGUGCUUGCCUCGCAUGCAAGGCCCUGGGUUCGAUCCUCAACACCACAUAAAAAUAAGUAAAUAAAAAAAAAGGUAUUGUGUCCAACUAUGACUAAAAAAUAAAUAUUAAAAAAAGAAUACAGGCAACAAUAAAUGUUGGCCAGGAUGUGGUAUAAAAGGUUCACUCAUUCAUUGCUGAUGGGAAUGCAAAUUGGUGCAACCACAACGGAAAGCAAUAUGGAGAUUCCUCAAAAAACUGGGAAUGGAACCACCAUUUGACCCAGCUAUCCCACUCCUUGGUUUAUACCCAAAGAACUUAAAAUCAGCAUACUAUAGUGACACAGCCACAUCAAUGUUUAUAGCACCUCAAUUCACAAUAGCUAGACUAUGGAACCAACCUAGGUGUCCCUCAAUAGAUGAAUGGAUAAAGAAAAUGUGGUAUAUAUACUCAAUGGAAUAUUACUCAGCUUUAAGGAAGAGUGAAAUUAUGACAUUUGCCAAUAAAUGGUUGGAGUUGGAGAAUAUCAUGCUAAGCGAAAUAAGCCAAUCCUACAAAACCAAAGGCCGAAUGUUCUCUCUAAUAUGUGGAUGCUAAUUCACAAUAAGGUGGGGGAUGCUAGGGAAGAAUAGCAUUACCUUAGAUUAGGUAGAGGGAAGUGAUAGGAGGGGAGGGGUGGGGAUAUGGGGAUAGGAAAGAUAGUAGAGUAAAACAGACAUUAUAUGUGAUAUAUGUGACUAUAUGACUAAUAUGAUUCUGCAACAUGUACACUCAGAAAAAUAAGAAAUUAUAUCUCAUCUAUGUAUGAUAUAUCAAACUGCAUAAAUGCAUUCUACUGUCAUGUAUAAUU
RNAcentral lists this long non-coding RNA (5948 nucleotides) under Marmota monax (woodchuck). The stretch from base 5100 to 5166 matches the Rfam family "tRNA". The record is from RNAcentral. Lineage: Eukaryota; Metazoa; Chordata; Mammalia; Rodentia; Sciuridae.